RNAcentral lists this ribosomal RNA (117 nucleotides) under Oryzias javanicus (javanese ricefish). The record is from RNAcentral. Lineage: Eukaryota; Metazoa; Chordata; Actinopteri; Beloniformes; Adrianichthyidae.
GCUUACGGCCACACCACCCUGAACACGCCCGAUCUCGCGAUCUCGGAAGCUAAGCAGGGCCGGGCCUGGUUAGUACUUGGAUGGGAGACCGCCUGGGAAUACCAGGUGCUGUAAGUU